GCCAGCCCGCUCAGAACUUAAAGGAAUUGACGGGGGCCCGCACAAGCGGUGGAGCAUGUGGUUUAAUUCGAUGAUACGCGAGGAACCUUACCUGGGCUCAAAUGUAUGUUGACGUAUUCUGAAAGGGAUACUUCUUCGGACAAUAUACAAGGUGCUGCAUGGUUGUCGUCAGCUCGUGCCGUGAGGUGUCGGGUUAAGUCCCAUAACGAGCGCAACCCCUAUCAUUAGUUGCCAUCAGGUCAAGCUGGGGACUCUAAUGAAACUGCCUACGCAAGUAGUGAGGAAGGUGGGGAUGACGUCAAAUCAGCACGGCCCUUACGUCCAGGGCUACACACGUGCUACAAUGGCCGGUACAAAGGGCAGCUACCUGGUGACAGGAUGCUAAUCUCAAAAGCCGGUCUCAGUUCGGAUCGGAGUCUGCAACCCGACUCCGUGAAGUCGGAAUCGCUAGUAAUCGUGAAUCAGAAUGUCACGGUGAAUACGUUCCCGGGCCUU
RNAcentral lists this ribosomal RNA (495 nucleotides) under uncultured Sphingobacteriales bacterium. RNAcentral describes it as "bacterial SSU rRNA". It matches the Rfam family "Bacterial small subunit ribosomal RNA", at positions 903 to 1382 of the family's 1533-position model. Lineage: Bacteria; Pseudomonadati; Bacteroidota; Sphingobacteriia; Sphingobacteriales. The record is from RNAcentral.